ACGGCUCAACCGUGGAGGAGCGUGGGAUACGCUCAGGCUAGACGGUGGGAGAGGGUGGUGGAAUUCCCGGAGUAGCGGUGAAAUGCGCAGAUACCGGGAGGAACGCCGAUGGCGAAGGCAGCCGCCUGGUCCACCCGUGACGCUGAGGCGCGAAAGCGUGGGGAGCAAACCGGAUUAGAUACCCGGGUAGUCCACGCCCUAAACGAUGCGCGCUAGGUCUCUGGGUUGCCUGGGGGCCGAAGCUAACGCGUUAAGCGCGCCGCCUGGGGAGUACGGCCGCAAGGCUGAAACUCAAAGGAAUUGACGGGGGCCCGCACAAGCGGUGGAGCAUGUGGUUUAAUUCGAAGCAACGCGAAGAACCUUACCAGGCCUUGACAUGCUAGGGAACCUGGGUGAAAGCCUGGGGUGCCCCGCGAGGGGAGCCCUAGCACAGGUGCUGCAUGGCCGUCGUCAGCUCGUGUCGUGAGAUGUUGGGUUAAGUCCCGCAACGAGCGUAACCCCUGCCGUUAGUUGCCAGCGGGUGAAGCCGGGCACUCUAACGGGACUGCCUGCGAAAGCAGGAGGAAGGCGGGGACGACGUCUGGUCAUCAUGGCCCUUACGGCCUGGGCGACACACGUGCUACAAUGCCCACUACAAAGCGAGGCGACCUGGCGACAGGGAGCGAAUCGCAAAAAGGUGGGCGUAGUUCGGAUUGGGGUCUGCAACCCGACCCCAUGAAGCCGGAAUCGCUAGUAAUCGCGGAUCAGCCAUGCCGCGGUGAAUACGUUCCCGGGCCUUGUACACACCGCCCGUCACGCCAUGGGAGCGGGUUCUACCCGAAGUCGCCGGGAGCCUUAGGGCAGGCGCCGAGGGUAGGGCCCGU
This 863-nucleotide ribosomal RNA is filed under the name uncultured bacterium. RNAcentral's name for it is "bacterial SSU rRNA". It matches the Rfam family "Bacterial small subunit ribosomal RNA", at positions 604 to 1472 of the family's 1533-position model. The record is from RNAcentral.